Molecule: ribosomal RNA, 567 nt
Filed under: uncultured archaeon
Lineage: Archaea
Description: bacterial SSU rRNA
Rfam family: Archaeal small subunit ribosomal RNA
Source: RNAcentral
CGCGAAUUCGCCCUUCGGGGUGCGCAGGCGCGAAAACUUCACAAUGGGGGCAACCCCGAUGAGGGAAUUCCAAGUGCUAGCACUUUUUGUGUUAGCUGUUCUAUUGUCUAAAAAACAAGAGAAGUAAGGGCCGGGUAAGACGGGUGCCAGCCGCCGCGGUAAUACCCGCGGCCCGAGUGGUGGUCGAUAUUAUUGAGCCUAAAACGUUCGUAGCCGGUCUUGUAAAUCCUUGGGUAAAUCGGCCAGCUUAACUGUCCGAAGUCCGGGGAGACUGCAAGACUUGGGAUCGGGAGAGGUCAGAGGUACUUCUGGGGUAGGGGUAAAAUCCUGUAAUCCUAGAAGGACCACCGGUGGCGAAGGCGUCUGACUAGAACGAAUUCGACGGUGAGGAACGAAGCCCUGGGGCGCAAACGGGAUUAGAUACCCCGGUAGUCCAGGGUGUAAACGCUGCGGGCUUGGUGUUGGGGGUCCUUAGUGGGCGCCCAGUGCCGGAGAGAAGUUGUUAAGCCUGCUGCUUGGGGAGUACGUCCGCAAGGAUGAAACUUAAAGGAAUUGGCGGGGGAGCAC